AGAGCUGAUCCUUUGUCCCCAAGUUUCACUAAGAUUUGUUUCACACCCAGUGCAUGGCAUUGCUUUGCAGCUAGACUAAUUUGCUCAAAAGUCUCUGUCGGUCUUCCAGUCAGACGUGCCAACUCGGUUUCAUUCGGGCUGAAAAUAUCCACGAGGCUCAGAAGCUCCCCUGGUAUAGGGGCAUCGACCCCUCCGGCAUCUAGAAUAACAGGAACACCUGCACUCUUUGCAACCUCCGCAAUCUGGAUAUUGACUCUAUCCGGGAUCUCCCGCUGCAGCAACACAAUCCCCGCCCUGCGGACAGCAUCA
Molecule: unclassified non-coding RNA, 309 nt
Filed under: Hevea brasiliensis (rubber tree)
Lineage: Eukaryota; Viridiplantae; Streptophyta; Magnoliopsida; Malpighiales; Euphorbiaceae
Source: RNAcentral